Non-coding RNA from Mus musculus (house mouse), 280 nucleotides. Lineage: Eukaryota; Metazoa; Chordata; Mammalia; Rodentia; Muridae. The record is from Rfam.
GGUGUGAGGGCUACCUGGCUUUGACAUCUGUCACCACAUUGAUCAUCAGGGUUGGUUUGCCUUAUCUGGCUUGUGUCCCCUUCCUCCUUCACUGUACCAUGCCUCUCCCAAUGCUGUGAUUUUUCAGAAGCCUUCUUCAAUAAAGGAAGACUGAGUUUUGGCAGCCAUAUUUCUCUUUUGAAAUCUCCAAACCAGUUCUCAGUAAUUUUAAAUGAAACACCAGUAGAUGGCCAUGUACCCAUAUUUUAUUGUUGAUCACAUUCAUCCCUGGAAGACUUUU